UUGGAGGGCAAGUCUGGUGCCAGCAGCCGCGGUAAUUCCAGCUCCAAUAGCGUAUAUUAACGUUGUUGCAGUUAAAAAGCUCGUAGUUGAAUUUCGGGAUCAAUGUUUCGGUCAUGCCGUUGGUAUGUACUGAUAUUAUUGGUUUCUCACCUUCUAAAGAACCGUAAUGCCAUUAAUUUGGUGUCACGGGGAAUUAGGACUGUUACCUUGAAAAAAUUAGAGUGUUUAAAGCAGGCUCACGCUUGAAUACAUUAGCAUGGAAUAAUGAAAUAGGGCAUCCGAUUCUAUUUUGUUGGUUUCUAGGAUCGAUGUAAUGAUUAAUAGGGAUAGUUGGGGGCAUUAGUAUUCAAUUGUCAGAGGUGAAAUUCUUGGAUUUAUUGAAGACUAACUACUGCGAAAGCAUUUGCCAAGGAUGUUUUCAUUAAUCAAGAACGAAAGUUAGGGGAUUGAAGACGAUCAGAUACCGUCGUAGUCUUAACCAUAAACUAUGCCGACUAGGGAUCGGAUGAUGUUAAUUUUUUAAUGACUCAUUCGGCACCUUACGGGAAACCAAAG
This 555-nucleotide ribosomal RNA is filed under the name uncultured Glomus. RNAcentral describes it as "SSU rRNA". It matches the Rfam family "Eukaryotic small subunit ribosomal RNA", at positions 548 to 1103 of the family's 1831-position model. Lineage: Eukaryota; Fungi; Glomeromycota; Glomeromycetes; Glomerales; Glomeraceae. The record is from RNAcentral.